Molecule: non-coding RNA, 117 nt
Filed under: Pseudobutyrivibrio sp. UC1225
Lineage: Bacteria; Bacillati; Bacillota; Clostridia; Lachnospirales; Lachnospiraceae
Source: RNAcentral
GAAGGUAGGCCCUUCGACAGGAAUUGAACAGGCAAAUCUGUCAAAUCACUCUAAUGCUGCUGUAGUCAAGCCUAUGGUAGUAAGCGAUUAGAGAAAAGGCUACAAACAGUAGUCAGA